Molecule: long non-coding RNA, 792 nt
Filed under: Lathyrus oleraceus (garden pea)
Lineage: Eukaryota; Viridiplantae; Streptophyta; Magnoliopsida; Fabales; Fabaceae
Description: Pisum sativum (pea) long non-coding RNA (PSAT_LNC017265)
Source: RNAcentral
AAAGACUAAAAUUUCUUAAAAUUAUAAUAAAUGAAAAAAUUUAUUUAACUAUUUAAUUAAAUUAUUCUUGCAACUACAAAUAAAAUAUAAAAUAAUUAACUACAAAUAACAUAAAAUAGUAUAAUUAAACUCAAUUAAAAAAUAAAAAAUAAUUAAUUACAAAUAACAAAAAAUGAUAUGUAAUUAAAAUUAAUUAAAAUAAUUACUAAUUACUUAAAUUAUAUUUAAUUAAAUAAAAUUAAAAUAAUGAAAAUAAUAUUUUAAAACAUAUUAAAUAAAUUAAAAUAAACAAAAAUAAGGAAAGAUUUUGCUAUUAUUGAGGUGAGGCCAAUAGCUUUCAAGUAAAAAAAUAUAUUAAAUUAUUCGAAAGUGAGGUAGAUUUGAAAAGUGGAUGGUUAUUUGAGUAAUAGGGAGGAAAUUAGGGCAAAAGGAAAAAAAAUAUAACAUUUAAUUGAAUUUGUAUGAGAUGUCUUAUUUUUGCAUUAGAUUAUCAUACGAUGAUUGAUGGGCAAUUCGUGCAACAAUCAUUACAGUUGUGUUUGACUGUUUGUCACAAUUAUUCUCGUAUUCUCUAGAUCCAUUAAAGUUUGAUGGACUUUUUUCUCUCUCUCAAAUUAUCGAUGAAAAUUUGUUAUUGUUCAUUAUAACUUUAAAAAAAAAUUAUUGACACCAAUUGAAUGAUAAAUAAAUGAGUAUAAAAUUAUAAAGAAAAAAAUAAAGAGAUUAAUUAUUGUGUACACCCUUUAACUUCUAUGAUAUUUUUUAUACUAGAUAUCGAUUAAAUUAAAAAAC